Molecule: non-coding RNA, 307 nt
Filed under: Gossypium hirsutum (cotton)
Lineage: Eukaryota; Viridiplantae; Streptophyta; Magnoliopsida; Malvales; Malvaceae
Description: Bacterial large subunit ribosomal RNA
Rfam family: Bacterial large subunit ribosomal RNA
Source: Rfam by way of RNAcentral
ACUGUUUCUUGGGAUUGACUUUGGGCUUUUUCUGCUCAGCUUAAGGGCUUGAGCCAUCAGUGAGAUACCAUUCUGGAAAAGCUAGAAUUCUAACCUUGUGGUAAGACCUACGGGCCAAGGGAUAGUCUCAGGUAAAUAAUUUCUAUAGGGCGUAAACCUCCCAAAAGGUAACGGAGGCGUGCAAAGGUUUUCUCGGUCCGGACGGAGAUUGGCCCUCGAGUGCAAAGGCAGAAGGGAGCUUGGCUGAACCCCGUAAAAUCAUUUCAUAGAAGUUCAUUGAUAUUUUCUUUUUAUAAAGCAAAUCGAC